Molecule: ribosomal RNA, 301 nt
Filed under: uncultured bacterium
Lineage: Bacteria
Description: partial 16S ribosomal RNA
Rfam family: Bacterial small subunit ribosomal RNA
Source: RNAcentral
CAGUCGCCGCGGUAAUACGUAGGUGGCAAGCGUUGUCCGGAAUUAUUGGGCGUAAAGGGCUCGCAGGCGGUUUCUUAAGUCUGAUGUGAAAGCCCCCGGCUCAACCGGGGAGGGUCAUUGGAAACUGGGAAACUUGAGUGCAGAAGAGGAGAGUGGAAUUCCACGUGUAGCGGUGAAAUGCGUAGAGAUGUGGAGGAACACCAGUGGCGAAGGCGACUCUCUGGUCUGUAACUGACGCUGAGGAGCGAAAGCGUGGGGAGCGAACAGGAUUAGAGACCCGUGUAGUCCCUGUCUCUUAUAC